CUGGAUCAGGAUGGACACCUNAGUUAGUUGCUGAUCUUGACGUUAGCNNNGGACGGGNGAGUAAACACGUAGGUAACCUACCUAUAAGACUGGGAUAACUUCGGGAAACCGGAGCUAAUACCGGAUAAUAUUUCGAACCGCAUGGUUCGAUAGUGAAAGAUGGCUUUGCUAUCACUUAUAGAUGGACCUGCGCCGUAUUAGCUAGUUGGUAAGGUAACGGCUUACCAAGGCAACGAUACGUAGCCGACCUGAGAGGGUGAUCGGCCACACUGGAACUGAGACACGGUCCAGACUCAUACGGGAGGCAGCAGUAGGGAAUCUUCCGCAAUGGGCGAAAGCCUGACGGAGCAACGCCGCGUGAGUGAUGAAGGUCUUCGGAUCGUAAAACUCUGUUAUUAGGGAAGAACAAACGUGUAAGUAACUGUGCACGUCUUGACGGUACCUAAUCAGAAAGCCACGGCUAACUACGUGCCAGCAGCCGCGGUAAUACGUAGGUGGCAAGCGUUAUCCGGAAUUAUUGGGCGUAAAGCGCGCGUAGGCGGUUUUUUAAGUCUGAUGUGAAAGCCCACGGCUCAACCGUGGAGGGUCAUUGGAAAACUGGAAAACUUGAGUGCAGAAGAGGAAAGUGGAAUUCCAUGUGUAGCGGUGAAAUGCGCAGAGAUAUGGAGGAACACCAGUGGCGAAGGCGACUUUCUGGUCUGUAACUGACGCUGAUGUGCGAAAGCGUGGGGAUCAAACAGGAUUAGAUACCCUGGUAGUCCACGCCGUAAACGAUGAGUGCUAAGUGUUAGGGGGUUUCCGCCCCCUUAGUGCUGCAGCUAAACGCAUUAAAGCACUCCCGCCUGGGGGAGUACGACCCGCAAGGUUGAAAACUCAAAGGGAAUUGACGGGGGACCCGCACAAAGCGGUGGAAGCAUGGUGGGUUAAAUUCGGAAGCAAC
Molecule: ribosomal RNA, 940 nt
Filed under: Staphylococcus sp.
Lineage: Bacteria; Bacillati; Bacillota; Bacilli; Caryophanales; Staphylococcaceae
Description: bacterial SSU rRNA
Rfam family: Bacterial small subunit ribosomal RNA
Source: RNAcentral